Molecule: ribosomal RNA, 465 nt
Filed under: Triticum aestivum (bread wheat)
Lineage: Eukaryota; Viridiplantae; Streptophyta; Magnoliopsida; Poales; Poaceae
Description: partial small subunit ribosomal RNA
Source: RNAcentral
AUGCGCCGCUCCCCGCAGUCCGGCUCCGUGCAGUGGUUCAUCUGCGACGAGGACGACAGGCCGCACCACGCCCGCGACAGCAAGGGCAGGGGCGGCGCCGCCGCCGCGCAUGGCCGCGUGGUGCAGGAGGGCGUCGAGUUCUACAGCAAUGGGGACUGCUACGAGGGGGAGUUCCACAACCACAAGGGCCGCUGCAACGGCAGCGGCGUCUACAACUUCUUUGGCAAGGGCAAGUACGAGGGGGACUGGGUGGAUGGCAAGUACGACGGGUACGGCAUGGAGAGCUGGGCGCGCGGCAGCCGCUACCGCGGCCAGUACCGCCAGUGCCUCCGCCACUGCCACGGCGUCUACCGCCUCUACAGCGGCGACUGCUAUGCCGGCGAGUGGGCCGGCGGGCAGAGCCAUGGCAUCGGCGCGCAGACGAUUUCACAAACUACCCGUAAGAGCAGAGCUGAUCGAUGUUGA